CCCUGGGAAAAAGGCCAUGAUUUCUUCGUGCUCGACCCCCCUCCCUCCACCUUCUUACUCCUCCAGCGCCUCCUCCCACCUCCCCAACUCCAUCCACUGCCAGCUACCGCGAUGCCAACCCACCCCCCGCGAUGGUCCAGUUCCUCACUGCCCCCGCUUAGCCACCCCUCACCAUCCUCACCCGGCCUCCCACGGCCCCACCCAACUCCGGCCAAGGCGAACCCCGGUGGCCCCAGCCCCGCGCCACACGCCUCCUCACCCGACCGCGGCUACAACCCCGUCCCGCGACACCAGCCUCCAUGGCCCCCCGCGCCGCCCGGCGACGGUCGGCCUCCACAGCCCUGGCACCGCCGCCUCCCCCCUCCCCGCGCCUCCCCGGUAACGGGAUCCGGUCGGUUCUUGCCCUACCAUGCCGCCAGGCGACGGAAUUCGAGGACCGACCUCCACCUCCACCUCCCUCCCCCGUCCCCAUCCCGGAUCUGCCGACGCGCCAUUGAUCCAUCGACGGCGACCCCAACGACUGCUGCUUCCACCUCUCGGCCAAAUCAGACGCGCCCAGGCUCCCUUCUCUCUCACUACUUUGGCUCGUGCAGUUCGGUCGGCAAGUCUGUGCAGUUCGCAGAUGACGGGAUUGCAGCUCCAAGCUCCCUGACUCCCUGUUGCCUCGAUCGAGGGGAUGCCCUGGCGUCCUCCUUUCCUCCACCCUCAUCUGCUCCUCUCCCUACGAUGCUCCACUAACGGCAAGCAGUCCAGGCUGCUCCCUAUUGCAGGUCGGCUGGGUCCUCUCCUAGAGCUGUUGUCACUACGCCUAGAGCAGUCUACAUAGCAGGCACACGUGGCCAUCGUAGACUCCCCGUGUAGUACACUUUUGUGCUAUGAGGCGGGUGUCGUCGGGAUUCGUCAGUAGGCUCCAAAUCUUGUGUUCAUCCUUUUUUCUCUCUUGGUGCAUUUCAUUGGAACCUCCAGUGCAGCUCUGUCGUGUGCACAUUGACGCCUCCUGUAGUUCACUAACGCCGGUGUGCACGAUAGCCCCGGCUCUCUUUCACCUAUGCUCCUCUUGUUUUGUUCUUCACUGAUGUUGUAGUCCGCUGAUGCAUGUCGUCUCGAUCAUCGGUGCAGUCCACCGGCGCACAAAAUUGUUUGUGCGGGCAAAAGUAGAGUAGGUACAGAGGUGUCGCAAUUCCAGGUAAGGGUGUCUACAACUUGAGGGUCCAGAACAAUGUGCUGCACUUCAGCCAUAGCGAGAUGAAUUGCCGAAGCUGAAUUAUUUGGCUACUUUCCUCGAUCGGAUGUCCCGCUACCAGGAUUCGAGCAGAUGGGGGCGGCGUCCCUCUCCGGAUCUGGCUGUUCCGGCUACAAGGUGGCAUGGCCAUCCCCUGGUGCAGUGCGGCCCGGUGUGGCACACAGUCCACCCCUCCACCACCUGCAGACCGGGAGGAGCACGGCGAUAUCCAUGUUCAGCCAUCCACUGCUCCCCUUCAAUUGUUUUCUUGCUUUUUCAGAUUUAACUGCAGCUUGCUUGGGGCGUCAAUGCGGUGCGGUUGGAUGUCCAGUCCACCGGCGAGCGUGCUUAUAGUCCGGUGACAUGAGGUCGUCGUCUCCUUCCAUCCCCCCGAUGGGCAGCCCCAUCCAUGCCUCGAUUCAGAAGAGGCGAGGCCGAUGGUGCAGGCGGAAGCUUCUCCAGCAUGGACAAUGGCAGGGUCGUCCCAUGCAUCUCCGUCGCGGAUCCCUCUACUCCCUUCCCCAACAGGCAUCCAUGGAGGUUAACGGCGCAAUGGCGAGCUCAUUUUCCGACGAAAAAACUAGCCACACCCUCUGCUGCCCUUUGCAUGGUUCCAGGGCAGGGUGAAGAUCUUUUCAUCCUUAAGUAAAAAAUCAAAGAGCGAUGUGGUCCACUGUUCUUUGCUCCUGACAUUCAGAUUACUUAUUUUUGCAGGAAGAAAAAUGUGCAAGUGAUCGGUUUUCACGUUGCAUUUUAUUUGCAGGUCCGGGGUCGUCGUGCAGUCCGUAUGUAAUCAUGUGGAGCAUAUUGUGUUUUGUUCCAUGCAAUGUAGCGUGUGUAAUCAUGCAAUUCUGUUGCAAACAUAGAUGAGGCAGUGUUUUAUGAGAA
Molecule: long non-coding RNA, 2110 nt
Organism: Triticum aestivum (bread wheat)
Lineage: Eukaryota; Viridiplantae; Streptophyta; Magnoliopsida; Poales; Poaceae
Exons: 2
Source: RefSeq, a predicted model, not a curated record